GACGAACGCUGGCGGCGUGCUUAACACAUGCAAGUCGAACGGUGAAGCUCCAGCUUGCUGGAGUGGAUCAGUGGCGAACGGGUGAGUAACACGUGAGCAACCUGCCCCUGACUCUGGAAUAAGCGCUGGAAACGGCGUCUAAUACUGGAUACGAGAAGGGUCCGCAUGGGCACUUUCUGGAAAGUUUUUCGGUUGGGGAUGGGCUCGCGGCCUAUCAGCUUGUUGGUGAGGUAAUGGCUCACCAAGGCGACGACGGGUAGCCGGCCUGAGAGGGCGACCGGCCACAAUGGGACUGAGACACGGCCCAGACUCCUACGGGAGGCAGCAGUGGGGAAUAUUGCACAAUGGGCGAAAGCCUGAUGCAGCGACGCCGCGUGAGGGAUGACGGCCUUCGGGUUGUAAACCUCUUUCAGCAGGGAAGAAGCGAAAGUGACGGUAACUGCAGAAGAAGCACCGGCUAACUACGUG
RNAcentral lists this ribosomal RNA (468 nucleotides) under uncultured bacterium. RNAcentral's name for it is "partial 16S ribosomal RNA". It matches the Rfam family "Bacterial small subunit ribosomal RNA", at positions 28 to 507 of the family's 1533-position model. The record is from RNAcentral.